UACGUAGGGGGCAAGCGUUGUCCGGAAUCAUUGGGCGUAAAGCGCGCGUAGGCGGCCCGGUAAGUCCGCUGUAAAAGUCCAGGGCUCAACCCUGGAAAGCCGGUGGAUACUGUCGGGCUAGAGUCCGGAAGAGGCGAGUGGAAUUCCUGGUGUAGCGGUGAAAUGCGUAGAUAUCUGGAGGAACACCGGUGGCGAAGGCGGCAUCCUGGACCGACACUGACGCUGAGGAGCGAAAGCCAGGGGAGCAAACGGG
This 253-nucleotide ribosomal RNA is filed under the name uncultured bacterium. RNAcentral describes it as "partial 16S ribosomal RNA". It matches the Rfam family "Bacterial small subunit ribosomal RNA", at positions 524 to 776 of the family's 1533-position model. The record is from RNAcentral.